RNAcentral lists this unclassified non-coding RNA (253 nucleotides) under uncultured Euzebyales bacterium. RNAcentral describes it as "contains 16S-23S intergenic spacer region". It matches the Rfam family "Bacterial small subunit ribosomal RNA", at positions 524 to 776 of the family's 1533-position model. Lineage: Bacteria; Bacillati; Actinomycetota; Nitriliruptoria; Euzebyales. The record is from RNAcentral.
UACGUAGGGGGCAAGCGUUGUCCGGAAUUAUUGGGCGUAAAGAGCUCGUAGGCGGUCCAUUAAGUCAGAGGUGAAAUCUCAGGGCUCAACCCUGAAACCGCCCCUGAUACUGGUGGACUUGAGGCAGGUAGGGGAAGGUGGAAUUCCUGGUGUAGCGGUGAAAUGCGCAGAUAUCAGGAGGAACACCAAUGGCGAAGGCAGCCUUCUGGGCCUGUACUGACGCUGAGGAGCGAAAGCGUGGGGAGCAAACAGG